This 688-nucleotide long non-coding RNA is filed under the name Sus scrofa (pig). RNAcentral describes it as "lncRNA (ENSSSCG00005008299.1)". Lineage: Eukaryota; Metazoa; Chordata; Mammalia; Artiodactyla; Suidae. The record is from RNAcentral.
CAGACUCUCCGAGUCGCAAAUGGGAAGACGGAUUCUCAGACAAGGCUUGCGGAUGCCCCGCGGCCAUCAUUUAACUGCGCCCGCAGAGCAGUUACGGUUUGUCACUCGACCCUCCCGGAUCGCCUCGUUUGUCCCUAGUGAGACCCCGAGGCUCUGCCCGCGCCGGGCUUCUCAAUAGCUGGAUGCAUGUCGUGCUCCGGGCAGCGCGGGCGCAGGGCACGCGUUCGCGCACACCCGCGCACACACGAAAACGCGCAAGAGCUGAACCGAGACGGGUUUCCAUUUCCAAAAAGGAGACUGCCUCUAUCCCGAUUUUACAAGAGACCGCGGUGUGAAUUAGGGACUGGGAGGCGUCAUAGAGGAGGAACAGUCCAUCUCAGAGGUACCUGGAUCUAAAUGCACGCACACACACGCAGACACAGGCGCGCGCGUCUACACGGACAGGCUGUGUGCGGGUGUGCGCGUGUGUGAACUCCCACAUGCUGCUGCUGCUGUCUGCUUCUGGCCAGUGGCACCGAUGCCUCCCUCCUCCCUGCACGCCCCCAGAUUCCCCUCCCCUCCCCGUUGCUUUUGUCUGGAGGGUGUUAUGGGUUUGUGUGUGUAUGAGCGUGUGUGUUUUUGGAUUUCAGACUAAUUUUCUGGAGUUUCUGCCCCUGCUCUGCGUCAGCCCUCACGUCACUUCGCCAGC